This is an RNA transcript of Neodiprion virginianus, 13336 nucleotides long. It is a transcript of the gene named potassium voltage-gated channel protein Shab, with no coding region annotated. The record is from RefSeq and is a predicted model, not a curated record. Lineage: Eukaryota; Metazoa; Arthropoda; Insecta; Hymenoptera; Diprionidae. The transcript is spliced from 10 exons.
AGCAGCAGCAGCAGCAGCAGCAGUACUCGCAGAAGCAGUAGCAGCACGAGCAGCUGAGUGUCUCAAUCGUGCAUUUACCCGCUGCUGCUGUCGGAAUUUCUGCAGUCAUUUAACAAUCAUUUGGUGUAUCGAUCUGCCUCGCGCGGCAUAGUGUCUCAGUCACGUUUUCGCCGUUGUUAUUGGUGUUGUUAUUGUUAAUAUUGUUAUUGCUAAUCAUUUAAAUGUUGAUAUUGUUAUUGUUUACAGCAGCUAGUCAAUAGCAGUAGUGGUAGUAGUUAAUAAUAGAAGUGGCGAUGCGAGUCGUAUUGUUAUACACGAUAUGUUAAUGGUGGAGACUGAAGGUAGAUCACUCGAUUUAUACAUCAGGACGGUAACUAAUCGAUAACUGUUCAGUGGAUUAUCGAUAUUGCAUAUGACGAAUCAUAGUGAAAGAAGUUUUUGCGGUAUUCGCCCUUGUCCUUUGGAAUAAUGUGAAAUGUGAACAAGUGAAUUUUUUUAUAACUCUGCAAACAUUCCCAGCAGUAUUCAAGAGGAAGGACUAACAUUAAGAUGUGGCCAACUGGUGGGAGGUUGGUAAAAGAGGACCAGAGUUCCACUGGCGGAUGAAACUGAAAGGCGACUGAUCGUCAAGCAUAGAUUGACAUUCAAGCUAAAGUUAAUCUCAUGCUGAACGACAGAAGGUUUGAUGAUGAAACGGGUGCCGACCCAGAACGCAACGGAAAUGGAGUUCCUACUUCGAUUUAUACUCAGGUCCCUCAUCUUGAGUCAACGAUGGACUCUUUCACAUAUGACCCAUCGCUUGUCACGGUUGGAAACAUGUCGAACCUUGGGAACCUUGGUAGCCUGGGCAAUAAAGAAGUUCGUUAUGCUUCAUUCUCAACAGUUCCAGCUUCGCUACCAUCGAUGCUUCCGCCACCGUUGCCACCACCCCCACCACCUCUUCCUCUUCACAUGCAACAACGCAUUUAUUCGCGUUCCAUGACAUCCUUACCACCGGAGCCUUUCAUGCUGAUGCGUUCAAAAGCUUUGAACAGAAGAGUCUGCAUUAAUGUCGGUGGUGUUAAACACGAAGUUCUUUGGCGUACUCUGGAAAGACUGCCUCACACUCGUCUCGGACGUCUCCGAGACUGCAAUACUCACGAAGCAAUAACUGAGCUUUGUGACGAUUACUCGCUUAUAGACAACGAAUUUUUUUUCGAUCGACAUCCCAAGUCGUUUAGCUCAAUAUUAAAUUUCUACAGGACUGGGAAACUCCAUUUAGUUGACGAGAUGUGCGUUCUAGCAUUCAGCGAUGACUUAGAGUACUGGGGUAUCGACGAGCUUUAUCUCGAAAGCUGCUGCCAGCACAAAUACCACCAACGGAAGGAGCACGUUCACGAGGAAAUGAGAAAAGAGGCCGAGUCUCUUCGGCAACGAGAGGAGGAGGAAUUCGGGGAAGGAAAAUGUGCGCAAUAUCAAAAAUGUCUCUGGGAUCUUCUCGAAAAACCAACAACCUCUAUAGCUGCCAGGGUGAUAGCUGUGAUAUCAAUACUCUUUAUUGUGCUAUCAACCAUCGCAUUAACUCUCAACACCAUUCCUAGUAUGCAAGUGAAUGACGAAAAAGGAAACUUUCAAGACAAUCCACAACUUGCAAUGGUGGAAGCGGUUUGCAUCACUUGGUUUACACUUGAGUAUGUACUUAGGUUCAGUGCCUCCCCUGACAAGUGGAAGUUCUUUAAGGGAGGCCUAAACGUAAUAGACCUUCUCGCAAUACUUCCUUACUUCGUGUCUCUAUUCCUCGUCGAAACAAACAAGAACGCAACGGACCAAUUCCAGGAUGUGCGUCGUGUAGUUCAGAUAUUUCGUAUAAUGCGCAUUUUGAGGAUACUGAAGCUUGCACGCCAUUCAACCGGGCUCCAAAGCUUGGGCUUUACGUUACGUAAUUCAUACAAAGAGCUCGGCCUGUUGAUGCUAUUUCUUGCAAUGGGCGUCUUGAUAUUCUCAAGUCUCGCUUAUUUUGCCGAAAAGGAAGAACCUGGAACUAAAUUCAUAAGCAUUCCCGAGACAUUUUGGUGGGCAGGAAUCACCAUGACAACCGUAGGCUAUGGAGAUAUUUACCCAACUACUCCCCUCGGCAAAGUGAUUGGAAGUGUAUGUUGUAUAUGUGGUGUCCUGGUAAUUGCGUUACCCAUUCCAAUUAUCGUCAAUAAUUUUGCCGAGUUCUACAAGAAUCAGAUGAGGCGCGAAAAAGCACUGAAGCGCCGAGAGGCUUUGGAAAGGGCGAAGCGAGAAGGAAGCAUUGUUUCCUUCCACCACAUCAACCUGAGGGACGCCUUCGCUAAGAGUAUAGAUCUCAUCGACGUCAUCGCUGACACGGGUCAGAACAUGUCGGGAAUAGAUGGAAACAGCACGGAGGGUGAAUCCGCGUGUGGUCGAGGCCCUGCGCAGACUGGUGCGGGAUGCUACCGUAACUACGAGCAUUGCAGCAUAUCUACUCAUCGCCGAAGCGCCUCAACGUGCUUGCCAACAUUGCCGAAUGAUCUGUCAACCCCGGAGAGUCCGAACCAUCGUCUGCUUGACUUUGCCACCAGUUCAUCACCUAAUAGGAACGAUCACUAUUUCCAAGAUGAUAUUCCAAUCCAGCCAUCAACUCAAGGGAAUACCACUCCUAGUGAUGAAGAGAAGAAGGAUUCCAGAAAAUUUGACAAAAUUGAAGAACUGCCUAGUGAAUUCGAAUGCUGUUUCUGUACUACUAAGGCGUAUAAGGAUUUUAGAGAUGCUGAGAAUCUCAUGCCUUUGGCUACAAGUGAUUUCCGGAAUCCAGUUUGCCAGGAACUGAGAGCCCUGCGCGACAGCAAUGCAGAAUCAAACAGUUUCGGAUACAAUCAGAAUUCACCAAAUCAAGACAAUUACUCGAAUUCAUGUUUUAAAAAUAAUAACGAGUCAUGCAGCGCGGACAGCACGGAUACCUUUGCCAGUUGCCACACACAUUUUUUCAAUUCUCAAGGUGACCUCACGGAGGAAGGUGAUAGUAACUUGUACAUAAACCCAUUGGAAAGUACAGACAAGUGCAACAGCUGUCAUCGUCAACAGUCCACUUCAACGAACACGACGAAGUCUACGACAACAGGCGUUCUGCUACACAUAUCCAAUGUACAAUCUUCCGAGCAGCCCGCGCAGACAUUAAAUCCACCGAAUGAAGAUGGCAAAGAAAAUUUCAGCGAUACCUCUGUACCUAAGCAUAAGAAAACUCGGAUUCAACAAAGCGGAAAGCAACGCACCCAUUUUGGCGUUAAUCCUGAUUCUUUAUCGAGUAUUGUUGGAGUCUCGACGGAAAAUACUGUCACAGGAGAUAACAAUAACCAAUACGGACUGAUCGACAGCCUCAGAAAUGGCAUCCUGACACCAGCAGAUUACUUUGCCUCUCCAUCCCGAGUGAUUAACCAUCAUUUGUUUGGAAAUGUUGGUGGCUUGAAACAUUCCUACUCUGGGAAAUCUAUUGGAAGUAAGCUGUCCUUAUCCAGCAACUCGAUAGAUAGUGAAACAAUGCCGUUUUUAGACCGGCACCGUGUUUCCAAAUCAAUUCUAAAAAAAUCAGAUAUCAGCAAUGUUCGAUACAACAACGGCUGGGACUCAGAUAAGGAAAAACUGAUAUCAGAAAAUACGUCUGCUACCAGCGUGUAUGACAGCGAAGGUGAUAUUCGGACAGAUUCGUUACUGAUAAAAGGUCCAGUCCACAAGCUGUCGCAGUCAACUGAACAACAAUCUUCUGGGAUAAUUUUCCAGACGAAGAAUGAAAGCAAUCGAAACGACGUUUCAGAUCAUAUCAGUACAAAAAACUUCACAGCUGCAUUAUCGAAAACUCUUUUUGACUCACAUAAAGAUGCACGAGACGAAAUGGUCACAGACAACAAAGUCAAAGAGUGUAACGACGAUAGUGCACAAGAGGAUUACAAAAAGAGCGAAAGUGCGACAGGGAAAAGUCAACACAAUACUCUGCUAAUUUGUCCGCCGCAGUCAAACGAUGAAAAUAUUAGGGAAAAUAGCAUCCAUCGUGAAAGGAAGAAGCCGACACCGAAUAAACCGAACACGAAUCAAACCACCGCUAUUCGUUUGAACACAAAUUCAAACUGUUGUAGCUUCGCUACGUAGCAGAGAAGUCGUUACGUAUAUGUGUAAUAAAGAAUGGAAUUAAUCUACAAGGGAGACUGGAAGUUCUGAUAUCUCCUUAAGGCAAGACCCUAGUGAAAUUUGAAAAUUCGACUUUCUAACAUUUUGGAUGGGUAAAUCCGGAGCACUUUGGUAAAAUAUGGUUGUGGCGUCAGUAGCUAUUAUUAUUAUUAUUAUUAUCUUCAAAAAUUCAGAAUAAAAGUCAAGUAAAAGUAAAAGAGAGAAAUGCAAAUGAUUUUCGCAUGGUUGUAAAUUUAUAGUAAGAUAACUUGAAACAAGAUCAAGAUUACUAUAUAUAUAUUGUUUUACACGAAACUGUCCACACAUAGUAAGAUUAACUAGGUAUCCUUGACAGGUCAACUGUAACAUCAUCAUCGUAUGAGACCUAUAAAUGUAAUUCCAUUAUCCACAACUUCACAGUUGCAGUAUCAAGUGUGUGCAGGUACUCAUAAUUAUUCAUUAGUGAAUUCGUGUAUAAAUAAUCCCAGUAACAUUCAAAGCUACACUGCAAUAAAUCAUAAUAAUAACAAUAUUACUGACAUAAUUAAAGAGCUUCAUAUAAGAGGGUUGUGAAUAAUUGAGAAUCAACCGUAUAGUUUUGUAAAUGAUUUGUUUGAUUUCCAGUCCCCGUGAAACUUUAUCAUUCAAAGAAAUCACGAAAUCCAUAGAUAUCAAAAAAUCUCGACACCUUUCUUUCGAAGCCUGUAUCUCAGAAACUACUGAUUUUUGGGAAUUGUGUCCAUGAGAACUUUUGAUUGGGAGGAUAUGUCCUAUAACAUACUGAAAAUCCAGCCAAUUCGACCGGGAUCCAAUUUGCGUAAGGAUUCUGCGGGGUCUUUUAUCGUUCAACGGACCAUCCGUUGGCACCUAGUUGCCUCUAAAAUAUACAAAUCCUAACCACACCGACGCAACGCAACGAAUGCAUACAAAGGACAGAUCACACCCAUGACGGACGAACCAACACCGAGACUAAUCCUUUUGUCGUUCCGGCAUCGUCCACUGCCGCAGGACAUCGGUAUAAAUAGGAAAGCCUCGGACACGGCCGGCAGAUACAAACGUAAUUGGGUUUUCGUAAAACAUGUUCUCUGAAAAACCAAUAUAUCAUAUAAUACUAAGUAUAUGAUAUUUUAAAAAAACGAACUAUACUUACUUUAACAAAUAAUACCAUGUUCACAAAAAUUGAGUUAUGUUCAAAGGACAGGCAUCUAAAUUACGUAGAACCCGUUGUAAAACAACCAAGAAUUUAAAACAAUAAAAACCUUUGAACCUUGAACGGCGUGCAGUAGUAGGAUGGCAUAGCGCCUCUUCGACUCAUUUCACGUCGUUAAACUAUAUAAAGCUCAUCCUGAACCUGCAGCCUAAUUUAGCUUAAUUUAUACAUAGGCGAACCCCCUUUUCGAAGUAACAAUAGAAAUAAUAAAAAGGGAGUAAUGCAUACACGGAGAGACAUUUUAUAGAAAGAUUUAUUAAAAUCACGACCAGAUUUUACUAUUCUUUCUCACAGUCUGGGGACAUAUCGGCAUUUUAUCAUAAACUCCUAUGUUGCGUGGUAAUUCUCAAGGUUACCAAUUGUUAUAGGAAUCUAACCUACAAAACUUUUCAUUUCUAUAUGUAUAUAUAUUAUGGGGAUCACACGGCAGAUAUUAUAUUUACAUCACAUUUGAUAAUUAGAGGGUUACGUCAGCCCCCUGACACACGCUGCUAAAAGUGGUUCGCAAAAUUUCUCUCGAUCCUGCCGCCAAUCUCCACCACUAGUGGCGCUAGUAGUUGUCUGACAAGCUUGCGCGCAGUCAGCGAGGGCAGCAAGCGUGUCAGAAGUCUACUAGCGCCACGUAGAGGAACUGAAAAACGGGGAAAAAAAGCGUACAAUUUUUUAGUAUACGAGCAGUGAUGAGUGUCAGGGGGCUGGGGUACGUAUUCAGUUCUUCGACUCACUGAACUUAACCUUACGUAUUCUAGUUACAUAUUCAUGUUAUAAAUGUGGUUAGGUAUUACCUGAUGAUAACUUGCAGCGCUAGCGAGAAUCCAUGUAUCAGUCUGUAUCGGCGCAGGCGAAGUGAACCCCGCGAAAUUUAAAUCUCAUAAAAAAAACAAUGGUUGUCAUGGAUUAAGCUGCGAUGCUCGGCGAUUAUCGGAUGUACUUGAAAAUUUUCGGCGAUGAAUUUGCUAUUCUCGCUGGGAAUCUUUGUAAUACAAGUUCUCGACUUGUAUUAUAUUUUGAUGCAGUCAGUCCAAGAUGUAUUACAUAUACCGUUGACGAAUAUUCUUCAGUCAACGCAUCUACUCUACAUUCCUGUUUGGUAUGGGAAAUUCACCAGUAUUUUACCGAAGAAGUAUUAAAUUGCGGGUUCAUUAUUCCCAUUUCUUCAGUAUCACUUAAUAAUACGGGUACUUCCUUUUACUACUUUCAUUUUUACUAUUUACGGAUUACAAACAUUAGCGCUCGUUCAUUACAUGUUGCUCUGGUCGACUAGUAAAACGACGUAUUCGGAUAUCAGCUUUUCCUUUCACCAUAAGAAAUAUUGCAAAAAAUGCUGAUAUAUCCCUAAAAUUCCAGUAAGUAUAGGGCUUGAAUCAAUUGGUCUCUUCGUGUGAUGAUGAAUAAUUUGGUAGAAAAUUUAACGUCGUAUAAGAAUUUAGCAGCGUAAUUGAAAAAUGACGUAUUUUAUGAUUUGCUUUAUCAAUUUUUUUCUCCUUAUAUUCUUACAUGUGCGUGCGGCACCCCUGUUGCCACAACUUUGUAAAUAUCUGAAUAACUUUUGUUUUGAUUAUUUAUUGCUUUACACUAGCUUGCUUGUUUAUUUGCUAACAUUUUGUGAAUUGCAUUAGAAUCAAACAAUUGAGCAGGGAGCAGCAACGGACUACAUCUCGCGUCUGCAAGGCAGGAAGUAAAAUCAAGAACUAGACACUUUACGGGUAUAAAAAGCCACUAUUAGCGGAGGGACUACGGCAACGUUUUGAUAAUCUACGUCCGUGAACGUAGUGUUAAGCCCAGAGCACAGGAAAUGCAGUAAGCCCUGUGCCGUUACACACACAAGCCGGAGACGCGCUGUCCGUACACCACUACAUCGCUGUGAUUAGCUGGCGCUAUGUAUUGGUGCACGAACAGCGCGUUCCCAGCUCAUCUGUCCGACGCCGCGACGGUACACAACUUACUGCAUUUCAUGCGCUCUAGCCUUAGCUUGGCGACGCGACGGUCACGGCAAGUCAAAACUCAUUUUCUGGACAGCAGCGGCGUAACCGCCUUCGUCUGCUUAGAGACACGGACGACAAGCCAAUACACCCGAGUCUGCACAAGGUAGCAACGGAGUGAUAUCCCGCGUCAACUAUAAUACAGAUAAACAAAGGCGAGAACUUUUGACAGACAAGAGUAUAUUGUGUAACAAGGAGACAAACUUGAUCUUUUCGGGCCGAACUAUGGUUUACAAUAUGAGUCGUAAGUGGCUGCAGACAAAUAUUGCAAAUACGCGAGGCGAAAAGACCGUUUCUUCUUUGUUGCACACGAUUCUUUACAAAACAAGAGCACGGUUUUACAUACAGGUCUGGAAACUCGCUCAAAAUUUCAGUGGUGAGGGUGUCCUCUUAUUGAAGCACCGGCCGUUCCGCCUAGUGAUCACGAGUGUCGUUGCUAUUGAGGGAUUCAGGAUGUGUGGGAGAGACGGAAACAGAUUUCAAAACCACGGACCAUGGAGACUAGAGUACAGGAGUCCGAUCUCCAUUGGGAAACAUACGAAAAAAUCGUCCUCGAAAAUUUGUCGUUUAGUAGUUCUAGAUUUGAUCCAAAGCAUCGCUGUCAUUGUAAAGUUCCGAAGUGAAGUUGGUAACAAUUGACUAUAUAUGUGUAUAUAAACAUCGAUUGUGACCAAAAUGAAAUUGCCCCUUAACUGAAAGGGAAUAUUCUUGGGUCUGGUCUCCCCACCACUCGUCGGAUCCUUGCGAUAUCAGGGGCGUUCAGCGUCAGCCAGCGCAAGACUUAUUGUACGGAUUUUUGAUGCUAGAUCAAACGUACGAAGCAUGGAGACCAGAGAUAGGAGCCCGAACUGCUAUGCUAAAUGGAAAGUAAAAUACGUCAUUAAAAAUUAGUCGCUGGAUGGCGCUGGAGGGCUCAAAAGGCUUCAGUCGAGUGCUCGUCUCUGGCGUCGUCCCGGCCGCCGGCGUCGUCUAAAUUCUCGCCGCCAUAUUGCUUGUGUAUACUUUAUAUACCUAGUCUCCAUGGUUUCACCCUUGGUUCCCCCCUCAUGGCUUUGUGAAUUGUGCCUCGUCGCGGUCCGCUCCCAUCUCAUACCUGCUCGAACUGGAACCGUUUGAGCCCACUAGCGCCGCCUCGUGACUAUACAUUUAUGUUCACUCAACUAAACCGCAGUUCGUGUUCCUGUCUCUAGUCUCCAUGGUACGAAGACCGGACUCCUGUACUCUAGUCUCCAUGCCACGGACGGUCAACAAUCUGUUUCCAUCUCUCUCGCACAGCCUGAAUCCCUCUAUCGCAGCGACACUCGUGGUCACUAGGCGAAACAGCCGGUGCUUCAAUAAGAGUUUCCAGACCUGUAUGUAAGACCGUGAACAAGAGUAUGUCACGGGUUUUUUCACGAAGCACAAAAUUGAGGUUACGGUCACACAAUGUCAGAUUUGUUCGCGACAACGCAUGCGCGCAGUAGAGUAAGACCACUUUUAACUCCUAAGACUUAAAAGUGGUCUUAUCUACGUAUUGUCGAUAUAACCUGUGACUUUUUUCUUUACAGACAUCACUCAAAUAAAACCUGAAAAAUCAUUUGAAUUUCUGAAAAGUCUAUGAAAUACCCCAGUUUCACCAGGGUCCUCCCUUGAGGAACGAUAUUGUCCAUGUUUACUAACAGGAAUGAUUUCUUCGAAAUUCGGCGAAAGAGAUCUGCUGAACCAAUUGUCCUUUCGUCAUUUGAUAAUUUAUAUGGAAUAGACGCAAAGUGGCACACGAAAUUCGCCAAAUCUACAAAAAUUAUUUUUUCAUCCACCGCAAACAGUAGCCAUGUGACUCGUUUUAACUAUUAUCAAAGUUACACCCCAUUGAUGUUAAAUAAACGUUUAACAGUCGUGUCCUGCAAAGAAUUUCAAAUAGAGCCGACUGAAAAUAUCUUAGUUUUAUGCUAAAGUAACAUCGAAAUGUGAAAAAUUGCAAUUCAUGAAAAUAGGUGAUUGCGUAUAGCUCAGAAACCGUGCUAAUCGGCGGUUCCCGCAUACUUGACAGAGCGUUCAGUGCGUGAAUCACUGAAAUAUGCCCUAACUGGUACGCAACAAGCCAUUUGAGUUAUCCCCCCCCCCCCAAUCUCAAUCUACAGUAAACUACAAAAAUAAAUGUAACUUGUCGCAAAUCCACCGGAUUAAAAGUAUAUUAGAUCAGAAUAAGCCUCAUAAUACGUCCAAGAAAACAUAGAAUACGAGUAUCAAUUGAACAUCCAUUUGGAAUACUCACCUUCGAUAUUUAAUGAAUCAAUUUACACCAAAGAAGUAUGAAGUAGGUAUAUUUACACUUAUACCAAAUGAACAUCCGAAACAGAGCCAAUAUUUACAGUUAUAUAUCGAUCAUACGUAAAUUUUACAAAUCUGGUGAAAAUUACAUUAUUUUGUAGUUAUUCUAGUUACAAAUUUUAAAACGACUUAUAGUGAUACGUUCACUCAACAAUUGAAUCUUUCACAUUUCACAUUUCCUUUUUUUUCUAUUGAAAAUUCAUAGGAAAUAAAAUUAAAACUUAAGUAAAAUAUUUGAGACAGAAAAUUGUUCUAAUACUAUCUACUUUUAAAGCAAUUUUCACCGAUUCCCACGAAACUAUUUCAAUAAUCAAUUGAAUUUCCCGCGACAUUUGACAAAUUGAAAACAAGCAGCAUGACCGCCUCGUAGCUUCAAUCCUUCACAAGAAAAUAACUCAGGAUACCGCAUCCUGUUAGUAUAGAUAUCAGUGGCGGAAGCCAGUGCUGCUUUGCGUAGUGCUGUCCAGCCGUAGUAGAGCUCACAAACAUGGAGUGAACAUACCGACGUUUUCCUUUAAUCCUUUAAGCCCUAGAUUACACUAAAGAUUUAUCGUAGACAAGAUUACCAAAAUACUGGUAAAAAGUGAUAUUGCACUCCAUUUGUUUGAUAUCAAUUUUUUCUGCAUCUAUUUUUCACACGGAACACUAUAAUUUUCUGAACGAAUUUUUUUCAACACGGUGUCCUGGGUAGACACUGCGCUAUCGGUGUCUCAAACACGCGUUUUCAAUAUCUUUUAAGGCCAUCAUUCAAGUACACUUCGAAAAAGCGAUCAGGUCAGACACUGCGUACAAAGUACCUGAUACUCGCAUUUUGGGGUCCGGGGUCACUUAUCGAUUUUAUACGGACUUUGAAAAUGCUAUAAGAGAAAAAUAUUGAACUUGUGCUCCGGUACUAUGACGAAAAAUCCAGUACAAAAUAACGUCAUCUAAUUGGAGAACGAUGAAAAAGGCGUAUUUGAAUCCAGUAAUGUACUACGUAUCAACCAUAUCUCCAGGAAUGUUCGGUAGGUUGUGAAUUUACAGUUAAUGGUGUACAAAUCGACUGUAAAUUGAAUUGUCGUCAAGAAAAGUAGUCAAGCGAAACUGCGAAGUUUCGAUACUUACCAGAAUUUUUGAUUCCAUUACAUUCACUGUGACGUGACGUGUUUUAUACGAUGUUUAAUUUUCGUUUUGGGUUUGUCUUGAUCUGGAUAUUUUUCAGAGCAUUCUUUGACGUAUGGUUGGCACAGCUUCGACUUUUGGUUUAUUGACAGUUACUACCAUACCUCAGGCGAACUUGCCGACGUCCUGACAACUCCAAGUCAAGUUUCCAGUUGACCACAUUAUACCACUUUAAUUUUGUUAACCCAUAGUCGACAUUCUAAUAAGUGGGCUAUCUGGGUAGGCUUUGAUAAUAGUAAGAAUAAAUCACUUGGCUACGGGAUGUACAAAAAGUAAAUUAUUACUCAAUAUCGGUGAAUAUCACAGGCUAGCGCGAACCUAUUCUCCGUAAAUCAUCAAAUUCCACAGGAUAAAUUGAUUCAUUAACAUCAUUUCGGAAUAAUUCUUGAAAAAAAAAUUGUUUCGUAUAAUUUAGCUAUCGCAUCCCAGUAAGCUGUUUUAACCCUAGUCACAUACACCUAUGGAAAUUUUCACGUUGCUUACACAGGGUCACUCAGACCCAGCCAACUUUGGAACGUUAUUACCUUAGAAAACAUUACGGUAUGCACAGUUACAACUCGAAGAAAAUUCUGAGACUACAUGUAAUAACUCAAAAAUAGACUACAAUGUUAUUUAUAGCAAAAAAAAGCGAUCGAGGAUGUGGCAGAAAUUCUUCAAGGAAAAAGAAGUGAAAAAAUACGCAAUACAGUAGAACCUCGUUUAUCUGAGGUCAUAUGAGGAGAGUAUACCUCGGAUGAGUGAAAUCUCAGAUAAUACGGAAAACAUAUACAAUCCAAGCGAUUACGACGUUUUACCCUUGACUCCAAAAUCGGAACUGUGACGUUGAUAACUCGCAAACAUCGCAAGAAACUUUUACAAAUUUAUGCAUAUUCCAAGGUUCUAACGCAGAGUGCUCGGAUGAGAUGGGCGUCUCGGAUUAUACGGAAACUCGGUUAAUCGAAGGUCGGAUAAGCAAGAUUCUACUAUACAUGCCAGGGGUCUCUAAGACCCCAUUUUUUAAAUAACUUUUUAUAUUACUUGCACAAACAAUCCUGAUUCAAGCGUGCUAACUUUAAAAUUAUACGUUAAAAUCGGUGUUGGGGCCAACUAGACCUCAUAUAUGACUAGGGUUAAACACGGAGUCACUUAACCGAUUUAAGAGUCUUUAUGAGAUUCGAUAUCAUUUCACCAUAAAACAUCGGUUGAGCUGAAAUUUUUGGUGAAGGUCAUUCAAAUUUUAAGGAGUGCGCUCUGGUCAGCCAGCGCCAAUGAAUUAUCACAUGAAUUAAAAACCUAUUAAAUUGCGAAAUAUAACCUGAAAUCUCGUCUCGGUACGAAGUAAAUAGAUUAAGAACCUGUCCGAUAUUUAUCCAGUCCAUGCUGAACAGAGCAUACUUUUUGACGAUAGCACAAUCAUUCUGCAAGCAAUUCCAAACUGAUUUGAAGAUUUGAGGAAAAAUUAAACCGAUUCUCAUGAGUACUCUUGAAUCAGUCAAGUAACCCGUUGCUCAGAAGCCUUAACAAUUGGCUUACGUAAUUUGUAAACUUUUAACUAAAGAUAGAGCAGGGACAUAUGGUUGAAAUUCUACAGGUUAGUUUUACGUUUGGAAUUUUGGCAGAUUUAUCAUGUAUGUAAAUAGGUAGGGUAUAUGUAUAGUUCUAAGAGGCAGGCUGUUCAAAUUUUACACCAAUCGCGUGUUGGGUGCGGACACAGUGUUGAAUUUGACUUCAGUUAUUCUUUCACGCUCUUGCACACUGUUCUAAAGUAUUGGCUAAGGAAUAAAUAAAUAUCGCAGAGUUUAAUAUCAUUGGGCAUUCAAAACUAAUCAGUAAAUCAAUCUGAAAAAAUAUAGUUGAAUAUACAAAUAUGACAUACAGGGUGGUCCAUCUUAAUUGCCAUAGGUGAAUAUCUCAUAAACCAGAUGAGAUUAUUUGUUUAUUUAAAAGUCCGUAUACUGUUUUGUAUCAUAUGGCACUAGCUAUUUAAAAUACGACUUUUUUGCAAUAAUAUAUUGUAAGUAAGGCAGCCAUUUCGGAAACUUUUCUCGCAGGAUAUCCUCCAAACAUGUGCCGGCCGGGCACUCGCUCAGCGCAUUAGCGGUUUCGAUUUUUAUACGUAAGCAAAGUGUCGAAAUAAAGUUAUUAUUAUUAAGCGAUUUUAACCAUUUUUGAAGAAGAGCGGUCUUCCGCUAAACUAAACGAAUACAUAUGUUGAAGGAUAAUUCAAUUGGACCGAUAUUUUAGGUAUGAAGCUAGCCCUUCUAAAUCCCAAUUGGACUGAUGCACCGCCUUAAAACAUUAUCUUCUCCCGUCGAAACCCUCCAAAUUGUGCAUAAAACUGUUGUUUCUACCAGUCUUUGGGAUAUUUGCCAAGGGUGGUAAUUAAAAUAGGCUGGCCACCCACAUGUUUCACAGCAUUCUUGUAUAGAUGAGUAGAAGAAAUUUUCAAUAAUUUCGCUAGCAAUAGUUGCGUAUAUUGUUAGUUGUGAUUCUACUGAAAAUCGUUCAAUAAAACGUUAAAAACCAUCAGAAUAAUUUCAAUAUA